RNAcentral lists this ribosomal RNA (233 nucleotides) under uncultured bacterium. RNAcentral describes it as "partial 16S ribosomal RNA". It matches the Rfam family "Bacterial small subunit ribosomal RNA", at positions 15 to 244 of the family's 1533-position model. The record is from RNAcentral.
GAUCCUGGCUCAGGAUGAACGCUAGCUACAGGCUUAACACAUGCAAGUCGAGGGGCAGCAUGGUCUAGCAAUAGACUGAUGGCGACCGGCGCACGGGUGAGUAACACGUAUCCAACCUGCCGAUUAUUCCGGGAUAGCCUUUCGAAAGAAAGAUUAAUACUGGAUAGCAUAACGAGAAGGCAUCUUCUUGUUAUUAAAGAAUUUCGAUAAUCGAUGGGGAUGCGUUCCAUUAG